CCUACGGGUGGCAGCAGUCGAGAAUCAUUCACAAUGGGGGAAACCCUGAUGGUGCGACGCCGCGUGGGGGAAUGAAGGUCUUCGGAUUGUAAACCCCUGUCAUGUGGGAGCAAAUUAAAAAGAUAGUACCACAAGAGGAAGAGACGGCUAACUCUGUGCCAGCAGCCGCGGUAAUACAGAGGUCGCAAGCGUGGUUCGGCAUGACUGGGCGUAAAGCGUGAGUAGGCUGUUUCGUAAGUCGUGUGUGAAAGGCGCCGGCUCAACCCGCGGACGGCACCUGAUACUGCGAGACUAGAGUGCUGGAGGGGGGAGCGGAAUUCUAGGUGUAGCAGUGAAAUGCGUAGAUAUCGAGAGGAACACUCGUGGCGAAGGCGGGUUCCUGGACAUUAACUGACGCUGAGGCACGAAGGCCAGGGGAGCGAAAGGGAUUAGAUACCCGUGUAGUC
Molecule: ribosomal RNA, 446 nt
Filed under: uncultured bacterium
Lineage: Bacteria
Description: partial 16S ribosomal RNA
Rfam family: Bacterial small subunit ribosomal RNA
Source: RNAcentral